Molecule: long non-coding RNA, 427 nt
Organism: Amphimedon queenslandica
Lineage: Eukaryota; Metazoa; Porifera; Demospongiae; Haplosclerida; Niphatidae
Exons: 2
Source: RefSeq, a predicted model, not a curated record
UCCAUGGACUUAGCUUUGUGCUAGAUCAAUGAGCACAUUCAUGAUUAUUUCAAAUAUCUAUCAUAGUCAUUAUGUACUCUUGCUACUAUUAUUAUUGGUAUUUAGAUGACGGUGAAUUAAGUAGAAAGGAGUUUGUACACGUUUUAAAAUCAAGAAACUCACGCGGUUUGCAAAAGUCACGAGAAUUAGGACUAGCCAAACUAAUGAACUCUGUUGUGGCUUGCUCUGCAAAAGCAGUCAAAGAUAAACUAGGGAUUGAAGCUUGAGCUAGUGCUAUGGUGUGGUCAAUCAAGUCAGGAUUAUGAACAUUUUAUAUUAUAACAGAAAUAUCUUUUAGUGAUGGCAGGAUAGAAUAAUAUUAUAUAAUUGAUUUUUUAUGUACACCCAUUCUGUUUGAGUAGCAACAAUACAGAAACAUAUGAUUAUA